This 806-nucleotide long non-coding RNA is filed under the name Hordeum vulgare. RNAcentral describes it as "long non-coding RNA (HVUL_LNC013343)". The record is from RNAcentral. Lineage: Eukaryota; Viridiplantae; Streptophyta; Magnoliopsida; Poales; Poaceae.
AAAAUUGGCAUGUUUAUUAUCCACAUGACUGCCCCUAAGUUGGACAUCCUACACAUGACUGCGCCUAAGUUGGACAUCCUUCCACAUGACACUAAGAUGGACAAGCAAUAUCCAUACAUUGAACCAUGAGAGGAAGCGUGCAUAUCACCAAAGCACCUAGAAAACAAAACAACAAAAGUUAUAUGGCUCAUACAGAAGUCUUUCAGAUACAACAGGAACUAGUUUAUGUGGUACCACUUAAUAUAUAAUGCACAUAGUUAAAAAUUCUUUCAAAGAAUAUGAAAAAUGAACUAAAAUGCCAUCACUUAAGAAGUCUUAGAAAUAUGACUUUGGCCUACUUCUACGAAGGCUAGAGCUAUACGGGCAUGUUAAAACAGAUUAUACAUAAGAAGUUUUCUACAAUAUAUGAAAACAAAAGUAUAUGUUACACGAGUUAUUCAACCCGAGAUCGCAAAAAACACUUGAUAAUUCAUAUAAGUGCAAUAUUGUCCGGAAGUUCAUCUUACAACAAGUGUGGUACAUUUGUAACUGUAAGGAAAUAGUCAAUAUGACGUGCACAUGUCUACAACAUCUGAUGAUCCGGAAAGAUCAUGGUACCUUCAAUAAAGGUCAAUGUCUCAAAAAGUAGGCAAAUGAGAUACUAAAAAAUAUUCCAGACGAUAAUUUUGUGGCAGAAGAAACACAACCAGGCAAUUGCAAACCUCACAUGUUCAAGUGCUCCAGAACUGGACUUCACAUGUAGAUGCAAAUCUAUAGCGGUCGACGUGAUCAAACACGUUCCUUUCUUGCAUAUCCUGCUGCAAAAG